This is a long non-coding RNA of Biomphalaria glabrata, 655 nucleotides long. RefSeq lists it as uncharacterized. Lineage: Eukaryota; Metazoa; Mollusca; Gastropoda; Planorbidae. The transcript has 5 exons. The record is from RefSeq and is a predicted model, not a curated record.
UUUUACCUUAGCAAACUGAUCACUCCAUAUCUCCCCCAGAGAGCCCUGCGCUCAAUGGACUCAACGCUUUUAGUGGUGCCACGUUUCUCCUUCAAUUGCUACAGACUGCGGGCUUUUUCAGUGCAUGGACCAAAGAGUUGAAGAUAUCUACUUGGUAGUCUAAACCUCAAAAGGAGCUUAGGGAAGUGAUGGCAGUUGCAGGGUAUGAACCAGACGACCAUGCAGAGACCAACGAGGCGACCAAACAGUCCAUCGUGCAUACCACAUAACCAGAAUGCCAGUUUUCUUUAAGGGCAGCUGACAAUAAGAAUUGUCUAUGUAUGCACUACAGAUGCUGUUCAAUAUCUUUUCAUGAGGAAACUUGCUCAAAAAGAUCGCCACAUUUUCUUUAGGGGAAGUUGACAUUAAUCUUUUAGGUUAAUAAUAACCUAUGCAUGCAGUACAGAUGCUGUUCAUCAUCUUUUCAUAAGCAAGCCUGCUCAAGAAGCUGCUGCAUGGAAGUCAAAAUAUGAAUUAUUGCCACCAGUCUUGAAGUCAGCUUGUAAAGAAUGCUAAGAAUUGAAUGAAAAUGCUGUCUUGAUAUCUUGUUUGUGCUGUUAUAUUUGUCUUUUGUGUUGGUUAAUUAUUCCAUGAAUAAAAAAUAAAAAAAAGUUAA